This 327-nucleotide ribosomal RNA is filed under the name uncultured eukaryote. Its description in RNAcentral is "partial 18S ribosomal RNA". It matches the Rfam family "Eukaryotic small subunit ribosomal RNA", at positions 1470 to 1796 of the family's 1831-position model. The record is from RNAcentral.
CCCUUAGAUGUCCGGGGCCGCACGCGCGCUACACUGAAGGAAUCAACGUGUGUCCUCCCUGGCCCGGAAGGGUGGGGUAACCCGUUGAACCUCCUUCGUGCUAGGGAUUGGGGAUUGGAACUGUUCCCCAUGAACGAGGAAUUCCCAGUAAGCGCGAGUCAUAAGCUCGCGUUGAUUACGUCCCUGCCCUUUGUACACACCGCCCGUCGCACCUACCGAUUGAAUGGUCCGGUGAAAGCCUCGGACCGUGGCAGCGUUGCUUUAUUGGAGCGCCGCCGUGGGAAGUUGUUUAAACCUUACCAUUUAGAGGAAGGUGAAGUCGUANCA